GACGAACGCUGGCGGCGUGCUUAACACAUGCAAGUCGAACGGAAAGGCCCUGCUUUUGUGGGGUGCUCGAGUGGCGAACGGGUGAGUAACACGUGAGUAACCUGCCCUUGACUUUGGGAUAACUUCAGGAAACUGGGGCUAAUAUCGGAUAGGAGCUCCUGCUGCAUGGUGGGGGUUGGAAAGUUUCGGCGGUGGGGGAUGGACUCGCGGCUUAUCAGCUUGUUGGUGGGGUAGUGGCUUACCAAGGCUUUGACGGGUAGCCGGCCUGGGGGGGUGACCGGCCACAUUGGGACUGAGAUACGGCCCAGACUCCUACGGGAGGCAGCAGUGGGGAAUAUUGCACAAUGGGCGGAAGCCUGAUGCAGCAACGCCGCGUGCGGGAUGACGGCCUUCGGGUUGUAAACCGCUUUCGCCUGUGACGAAGCGUGAGUGACAGUAAUGGGUAAAGAAGCACCGGCUAACUACGUG
Molecule: ribosomal RNA, 468 nt
Filed under: uncultured bacterium
Lineage: Bacteria
Description: partial 16S ribosomal RNA
Rfam family: Bacterial small subunit ribosomal RNA
Source: RNAcentral